RNAcentral lists this ribosomal RNA (481 nucleotides) under uncultured bacterium. RNAcentral's name for it is "partial 16S ribosomal RNA". It matches the Rfam family "Bacterial small subunit ribosomal RNA", at positions 28 to 507 of the family's 1533-position model. The record is from RNAcentral.
GACGAACGUUGGCGGCGUGCUUAAUACAUGCAAGUCCACUGAAGCAGUGGUAGCAAUAUCGCUGUGGAGGUGGCGCACGGGUGAGUAACACGUAGGUAAUCUGCCUUCAGGUCUGGCAUAACUCCGGGAAACCGGGGCUAAUAGCAGAUGAUGCAGCGGCUCGACAUCGAGACAGUUGUUAAAGCUAUGGCGCCUGAAGAUGAGCCUGCGUCUGAUUAGCUAGUUGGCGGGGUAACGGCCCACCAAGGCAACGAUCAGUAGCUGGUCUGAGAGGAUGAUCAGGCACACUGGAACUGAGACACGGUCCAGACUCCUACGGGAGGCAGCAGUAAGGAAUAUUGCUCAAUGGGAGAAAUCCUGAAGCAGCAACGCCGCGUGAGGGACGAAGGGCUUUUGCUUGUAAACCUCUGUAGGGAGAGAAAAAAAUCCCAAUCUUUGGGACAUGAUGGUAUCUCAAAAGUAAGCCCCGGCUAACUACGUG